RNAcentral lists this ribosomal RNA (310 nucleotides) under uncultured Pelagibacterales bacterium. RNAcentral describes it as "SSU rRNA". It matches the Rfam family "Bacterial small subunit ribosomal RNA", at positions 29 to 367 of the family's 1533-position model. The record is from RNAcentral. Lineage: Bacteria; Pseudomonadati; Pseudomonadota; Alphaproteobacteria; Candidatus Pelagibacterales.
ACGAACGCUGGCGGCACGCCUAACACAUGCAAGUCGAACGAAGUAGCAAUACUUAGUGGCAGACGGGUGAGUAACAUGUAGGUAUCUACCCUUUGGCCUGGAAUAACACGAGGAAACUUGUGCUAAUACCGGAUAAGUCUUUACGGAGAAAGCUUUAUGCACCAUUGGAUGAGCCCGCACUUGAUUAGCUAGUUGGUAAGGUAAAGCUUACCAAGGCAACGAUCAAUAGCUGUUCUUAGAGGAAGACCAGCCACAUUGGGACUGAGACACGGCCCAGACUCCUACGGGAGGCAGCAGUGGGGAAUAUUGG